AUGAACGCUGGCGGCGUGCCUAAUACAUGCCAGUCGAGCGAACAGACGAGGAGCUUGCUCCUCUGACGUUAGCGGCGGACGGGUGAGUAACACGUGGAUAACCUACCUAUAAGACUGGGAUAACUUCGGGAAACCGGAGCUAAUACCGGAUAAUAUAUUGAACCGCAUGGUUCAAUAGUGAAAGACGGUUUUGCUGUCACUUAUAGAUGGAUCCGCGCCGCAUUAGCUAGUUGGUAAGGUAACGGCUUACCAAGGCAACGAUGCGUAGCCGACCUGAGAGGGUGAUCGGCCACACUGGAACUGAGACACGGUCCAGACUCCUACGGGAGGCAGCAGUAGGGAAUCUUCCGCAAUGGGCGAAAGCCUGACGGAGCAACGCCGCGUGAGUGAUGGAGGUCUUCGGAUCGUAAAACUCUGUUAUUAGGGAAGAACAAAUGUGUAAGUAACUAUGCACGUCUUGACGGUACCUAAUCAGAAAGCCACGGCUAACUACGUG
Molecule: ribosomal RNA, 496 nt
Filed under: uncultured bacterium
Lineage: Bacteria
Description: partial 16S ribosomal RNA
Rfam family: Bacterial small subunit ribosomal RNA
Source: RNAcentral